RNAcentral lists this ribosomal RNA (442 nucleotides) under uncultured bacterium. RNAcentral describes it as "partial 16S ribosomal RNA". It matches the Rfam family "Bacterial small subunit ribosomal RNA", at positions 338 to 795 of the family's 1533-position model. The record is from RNAcentral.
CCUACGGGAGGCAGCAGUGGGGAAUAUUGCACAAUGGGGGGAACCCUGAUGCAGCAAUGCCGCGUGAAGGAUGAAGGUUUUCGGAUUGUAAACUUCUUUUGUACGGGACGAAGAAAGUGACGGUACCGUAAGAAUAAGCCACGGCUAACUACGUGCCAGCAGCCGCGGUAAUACGGAGGAUGCGAGCGUUAUCCGGAUUUAUUGGGUUUAAAGGGUGCGUAGGCGGACUGUUAAGUCAGCGGUAAAAGCCCGGGGCUCAACCCCGGCGAGCCGUUGAAACUGGCUGUCUUGAGAUGUCGAGAGGUAUGCGGAAUGCGCAGUGUAGCGGUGAAAUGCUUAGAUAUUGCGCAGAACUCCGAUUGCGAAGGCAGCAUACCGGCGGCGAUCUGACGCUGAGGCACGAAAGCGUGGGUAUCGAACAGGAUUAGAUACCCCUGUAGUC